Molecule: ribosomal RNA, 458 nt
Filed under: uncultured bacterium
Lineage: Bacteria
Description: bacterial SSU rRNA
Rfam family: Bacterial small subunit ribosomal RNA
Source: RNAcentral
CAGCAGUGGGGGAAUAUUGCACAAUGGGCGCAAGCCUGAUGCAGCCAUGCCGCGUGUAUGAAGAAGGCCUUCGGGUUGUAAAGGUACUUUCAGCAGUGAGGAAGGUGGGGUAUGUUAAUAGCAUACUCAUUUGACGUUAGCUGCAGAAGAAGCACCGGCUAACUCCGUGCCAGCAGCCGCGGUAAUACGGAGGGUGCGAGCGUUAAUCGGAAUUACUGGGCGUAAAGCGCAUGCAGGUGGUUUGUUAAGUCAGAUGUGAAAGACCCGGGGCUCAACCUCGGAAUUGCAUUUGAAACUGGCAAACUAGAGUACUGUAGAGGGGGGUAGGAAUUUCAGGUGUAGCGGUGAAAUGCGUAGAGAUCUGAAGGAAUACCGGUGGCGAAGGCGGCCCCCUCGGACAAAGACUGACGCUCAGAUGCGAAAGCGUGGGGAGCAAACAGGAUUAGAUACCCUGGUAG